Molecule: small RNA, 2302 nt
Filed under: Rattus norvegicus (Norway rat)
Lineage: Eukaryota; Metazoa; Chordata; Mammalia; Rodentia; Muridae
Description: uncharacterized LOC102556078
Source: RNAcentral
CAAGGGCAUCUUCAAAAUGAAACAGUUAAGAUUCACAAAGGCUAGCGAACAGGUUAGCCGGGACCGGGACCAGAGACUGUUGGACGUUCUCUAGUUGGGGAGAGGAUUGGACCAGACAAGGUGUUUUCAGAAAUCAGCUUGGUAGACUCUACAUAAAUAGUCUGAAGGUUGUAGCGAUGAACAUCCAAUGAGACAACCAAGUGACAGUUUUUCCUGUUGACCUGCUCCGCCGGUGGGACUUUACCAGGAGAUUCUUCCUGACUGGUACUCUUCCGGCUCCGGAGCAGUAGUCCGGGAUCCCUCAAAAUCCUGGGAGAAGGCGGAGGGCGCGCUGCUUGGGCACUGGCACAGAGCGGUUGUCGUGCUGUCGAGUGAAUUCCAGGCCAGACUGUUUUGAGGCUUACAACAGAGGGCAUGGAGGCCUGAGAAUGGAAAGAAGCCUGAAAUGGCUGGAAGAAAUCUGCAGAAAGCUCACUUGCCACCAGCGUUCCUUAAAGAGUGGAAGACCAUUAGAGUCUACUCGAAAUGGCCUCUCGCCUCCGGGCAUCUGUCUCAGAACUAGAGGAGACUGCUCAUCUUUGCGAAUGAGACUUAUGGAGAAUCUGCUUAGGUGUUCCUGAAAGGCACACACCAGCAUCGAAUGUUUAGAAACAAUAUCAUUCUGUAGCCCUGACUGGCAAUUCUUCUGUCUCAGUCUCCUGGAGUUCUGGAAUUACAGGCGUGCAUCACAAAGUUAAGUAUUUUACGUUUUACAAUCUCAAUUCACGCAGCAAUUUAGAAGUUCAGGGUGCAGUUGAAAAUUAAGCUGAGCCAGACGCGGUGAACAAGCCUUUAAAUCCCUGCAUUCCGGAUUUACCUAGAGAGUUGUCUUUAAAAUCUAAAAGAAAGUUUGACUGAAUAUUACUUAAGUGUUCAAUGUGAAUGAAACCAUUUAAAAAUGUACUUGUAAGAAGAGACAAACGUUUCCUGGUGCGGCUGCGGGGUCAGCCUGUAUGCUGAGUGCGGCGCAGGGCUACUGUGUAACGUCUAAACCGCUUUGUGUGGUGUCUCUUUACUCAUUUUCACCUGCCUGGCGAAUCAGACAAGCUCUGUAAUUCUACUCGGUUUUGGUUCCCAACAGCUUUUUUGUCUUUGGUUUUGUAUCCUGCCCCCCCACCCCCUUCUCUUUAAACGCCACAGAACUGUAACUAUUAAAAGUAAUUCGCCCUUCUCUCUCCCCUUCUCUCCCCUCCUCUCCCCUCCUUUUUUUUUUUUCUUUCGUUUUUGUUUUAUUUUGUUUUUCGAGAAAGCGUUUCUCUGUGUCGUUCUGGCUGUCUGGGAACUCGUUUCAUAGACUAGGCAGGCCUCUUGCUUCUGCCUUCCAAAUUCUGGGAUUAAAAGUAUCCGGUUGCAUUUCUAAUGUAAGUACGGAAAGUUAAAAAAAAAAAAAAGGUUUGGGGAUUUAGCUCAGCGGUAGAGCGCUUGCCUAGCUCCGGAAAAAGAAAAGAAAAAAAAAAAAGCAAGCGCAGAAUAAAACUUACUUUUCCUCUGCUUAAGUUUGUGAAUUAACAAACUGAUCAGGCUUCCACAAACUAGUGUGUCGAAAAACCAUCUUAACCUCUCAUACGCUGUGAGCAGGAUUUGAACCUGCGCGGGAAGAACCCAUUGGAUUUCGAGUCCAACGCCUUAACCACUCGGCCAUCACAGCUCACUCGAGCUGCAUGUAUGUUAUGUCAUUUGUAUAUUAAAAAAAUAAUUUAAAAAAUUCUCUGAAAGCAAAUUACAUACUCUGAAGGCACUGAAUGCUAUAAUCGCAUCAAUGCCAGACACUCCCAACUAUUAGGAAAUUUCCUUUCAGCAAUACACAGAAAGCAAUCACUAAUCAGAUCUCUUCCUCAAGUCUUACUCAACCCUAUCCCUGUAGGCUUUUUAAAGGGAGAACAAUAUUCCAGCAUACCAGAAUCUCUGGUUUUAGUCUUCUUUUCCCCACUUCCGGUUUUCACGGCUUACCGAGUUUUUCUUCAUAGAUGUGGCAGGGAAUCGCGUUUGAGCUAGUUGUGUGUACAACUAUAAUCUUAAAUAAGAUUGCUUUCCCCACACAACUCGAGAAGCACUGCUCUCGAGGGAGACAAUUUGGUAAGUUCUAUCUAUACUCAAAAUUUAUGUGCCUUCUGAGGCAAUAUUUCUACAAAUGUGCAAGAUAUGUUUGCACACAUGAGUGGUUUUGCUGGGGUCAAGAUCAUUCUCUUCUGAAUAUGCAGUGUUGAGGAAAACAUCAGCAAUAUGUGUUUUUAAAAAUAAUUCUCUUGUUAGUGUUAAACAA